RNAcentral lists this non-coding RNA (97 nucleotides) under bovine gut metagenome. Its description in RNAcentral is "THF riboswitch". It matches the Rfam family "THF (Tetrahydrofolate) riboswitch aptamer". From Rfam's summary of the family: THF riboswitch presents a pseudoknot that joins P1-P2 and the loop of P3 and two THF binding. The record is from RNAcentral. RNAcentral also lists the same sequence under 1 other name.
GCAGAGUAGAUCUGAACGUGUCAGUGCCGGCAGAACGGGGAGUUGUCCGCCGGACGAAUGAACAGAGGUUCGCAGUGUUCAGACCGCAUCCCGCUGC